Molecule: ribosomal RNA, 784 nt
Filed under: Micrococcus sp. 'Mali 39'
Lineage: Bacteria; Bacillati; Actinomycetota; Actinomycetes; Micrococcales; Micrococcaceae
Description: partial 16S ribosomal RNA
Rfam family: Bacterial small subunit ribosomal RNA
Source: RNAcentral
CCGAAUUCGUCGACAACAGAGUUUGAUCCUGGCUCAGGAUGAACGCUGGCGGCGUGCUUAACACAUGCAAGUCGAACGAUGAAGCCCAGCUUGCUGGGUGGAUUAGUGGCGAACGGGUGAGUAACACGUGAGUAACCUACCCUUGACUCUGGGAUAAGCCUGGGAAACUGGGUCUAAUACCGGAUAGGAACGUCCACCGCAUGGUGGUUGUUGGAAAGAUUUAUCGGUCAUGGAUGGACUCGCGGCCUAUCAGCUUGUUGGUGAGGUAAUGGCUCACCAAGGCGACGACGGGUAGCCGGCCUGAGAGGGUGACCGGCCACACUGGGACUGAGACACGGCCCAGACUCCUACGGGAGGCAGCAGUGGGGAAUAUUGCACAAUGGGCGAAAGCCUGAUGCAGCGACGCCGCGUGAGGGAUGACGGCCUUCGGGUUGUAAACCUCUUUCAGUAGGGAAGAAGCGAAAGUGACGGUACCUGCAGAAGAAGCACCGGCUAACUACGUGCCAGCAGCCGCGGUAAUACGUAGGGUGCGAGCGUUAUCCGGAAUUAUUGGGCGUAAAGAGCUCGUAGGCGGUUUGUCGCGUCUGUCGUGAAAGUCCGGGGCUUAACCCCGGAUCUGCGGUGGGUACGGGCAGACUAGAGUGCAGUAGGGGAGACUGGAAUUCCUGGUGUAGCGGUGGAAUGCGCAGAUAUCAGGAGGAACACCGAUGGCGAAGGCAGGUCUCUGGGCUGUAACUGACGCUGAGGAGCGAAAGCAUGGGGAGCGAACAGGAUUAGAUACCCU